This 1543-nucleotide ribosomal RNA is filed under the name Pectobacterium parmentieri WPP163. Its description in RNAcentral is "Pectobacterium wasabiae WPP163 16S ribosomal RNA". It matches the Rfam family "Bacterial small subunit ribosomal RNA". The record is from RNAcentral. Lineage: Bacteria; Pseudomonadati; Pseudomonadota; Gammaproteobacteria; Enterobacterales; Pectobacteriaceae. RNAcentral also lists the same sequence under 1 other name.
AAAUUGAAGAGUUUGAUCAUGGCUCAGAUUGAACGCUGGCGGCAGGCCUAACACAUGCAAGUCGAGCGGUAGCACAGAAGAGCUUGCUCUUCGGGUGACGAGCGGCGGACGGGUGAGUAAUGUCUGGGAAACUGCCUGAUGGAGGGGGAUAACUACUGGAAACGGUAGCUAAUACCGCAUAACGUCUUCGGACCAAAGAGGGGGACCUUCGGGCCUCUUGCCAUCGGAUGUGCCCAGAUGGGAUUAGCUAGUAGGUGAGGUAAUGGCUCACCUAGGCGACGAUCCCUAGCUGGUCUGAGAGGAUGACCAGCCACACUGGAACUGAGACACGGUCCAGACUCCUACGGGAGGCAGCAGUGGGGAAUAUUGCACAAUGGGCGCAAGCCUGAUGCAGCCAUGCCGCGUGUGUGAAGAAGGCCUUCGGGUUGUAAAGCACUUUCAGCGGGGAGGAAGGCGAUAAGGUUAAUAACCUUGUCGAUUGACGUUACCCGCAGAAGAAGCACCGGCUAACUCCGUGCCAGCAGCCGCGGUAAUACGGAGGGUGCAAGCGUUAAUCGGAAUGACUGGGCGUAAAGCGCACGCAGGCGGUCUGUUAAGUUGGAUGUGAAAUCCCCGGGCUUAACCUGGGAACUGCAUUCAAAACUGACAGGCUAGAGUCUUGUAGAGGGGGGUAGAAUUCCAGGUGUAGCGGUGAAAUGCGUAGAGAUCUGGAGGAAUACCGGUGGCGAAGGCGGCCCCCUGGACAAAGACUGACGCUCAGGUGCGAAAGCGUGGGGAGCAAACAGGAUUAGAUACCCUGGUAGUCCACGCUGUAAACGAUGUCGACUUGGAGGUUGUGCCCUUGAGGCGUGGCUUCCGGAGCUAACGCGUUAAGUCGACCGCCUGGGGAGUACGGCCGCAAGGUUAAAACUCAAAUGAAUUGACGGGGGCCCGCACAAGCGGUGGAGCAUGUGGUUUAAUUCGAUGCAACGCGAAGAACCUUACCUACUCUUGACAUCCACAGAAUUUGGUAGAGAUACCUUAGUGCCUUCGGGAACUGUGAGACAGGUGCUGCAUGGCUGUCGUCAGCUCGUGUUGUGAAAUGUUGGGUUAAGUCCCGCAACGAGCGCAACCCUUAUCCUUUGUUGCCAGCGAGUAAUGUCGGGAACUCAAAGGAGACUGCCGGUGAUAAACCGGAGGAAGGUGGGGAUGACGUCAAGUCAUCAUGGCCCUUACGAGUAGGGCUACACACGUGCUACAAUGGCGUAUACAAAGAGAAGCGAUCUCGCGAGAGCAAGCGGACCUCAUAAAGUACGUCGUAGUCCGGAUUGGAGUCUGCAACUCGACUCCAUGAAGUCGGAAUCGCUAGUAAUCGUAGAUCAGAAUGCUACGGUGAAUACGUUCCCGGGCCUUGUACACACCGCCCGUCACACCAUGGGAGUGGGUUGCAAAAGAAGUAGGUAGCUUAACCUUCGGGAGGGCGCUUACCACUUUGUGAUUCAUGACUGGGGUGAAGUCGUAACAAGGUAACCGUAGGGGAACCUGCGGUUGGAUCACCUCCUUA